This 408-nucleotide ribosomal RNA is filed under the name Physarum vernum. RNAcentral describes it as "SSU rRNA". It matches the Rfam family "Eukaryotic small subunit ribosomal RNA", at positions 76 to 405 of the family's 1831-position model. The record is from RNAcentral. Lineage: Eukaryota; Evosea; Eumycetozoa; Physariida; Physaraceae.
UCUCUCUGAAUCUGCGAACGGCUCCGCAAACCAGUUGUAAGCAAUAGCAAGGAUGCUCGUCGAACCCGGGGCUCGCGCCCCGGCAAGUAGGCGGGCGACAAGGAUACCCCUGGUAAUCCUGAGGCUAAUACUUGAGCGUACGACCUUGGCAGCCCUCGCGGCAGCCGGGGACCGUGCGAUCAUUCAAAGCGGUGGGGAAACCAUCCGGGAAAGGACGCACAGUCAAACCGCGGCAAAAAAUGGUUCGGCGGAAUCCCUCGGCCUUCGCGGUCGGGGGAGAAGCCGUUUCUCGCGGGUCUUGCACUGCGCUUCUGACCUAUCAACUGUAUAGCAGUGUAAGGGACAUGCUAUGGUUACAACGGGUACAGAGGAUUAGGGUUCGAUCCUGGAGAGUGGGCCUGAGAGAUU